This 482-nucleotide ribosomal RNA is filed under the name uncultured bacterium. Its description in RNAcentral is "partial 16S ribosomal RNA". It matches the Rfam family "Bacterial small subunit ribosomal RNA", at positions 30 to 507 of the family's 1533-position model. The record is from RNAcentral.
AUUGAACGCUGGCGGCAUGCUUUACACAUGCAAGUCGAACGGUAACAGCACUUCGGUGGCUGACGAGUGGCGCACGGGUGAGUAAUACAUCGGAACGUGCCUAGUAGUGGGGGAUAACUACUCGAAAGAGUAGCUAAUACCGCAUGAGAUCUAAGGAUGAAAGCAGGGGACCUUCGGGCCUUGCGCUACUAGAGCGGCUGAUGGCAGAUUAGGUAGUUGGUGGGAUAAAAGCUUACCAAGCCGACGAUCUGUAGCUGGUCUGAGAGGACGACCAGCCACACUGGAACUGAGACACGGCCCAGACUCCUACGGGAGGCAGCAGUGGGGAAUUUUGGACAAUGGGCGAAAGCCUGAUCCAGCAAUGCCGCGUGCAGGAUGAAGGCCUUCGGGUUGUAAACUGCUUUUGUACGGAACGAAAAGCCCUCUUCUAAUACAGGAGGGUCAUGACGGUACCGUAAGAAUAAGCACCGGCUAACUACGUG